This 403-nucleotide ribosomal RNA is filed under the name uncultured bacterium. RNAcentral describes it as "bacterial SSU rRNA". It matches the Rfam family "Bacterial small subunit ribosomal RNA", at positions 356 to 773 of the family's 1533-position model. The record is from RNAcentral.
GGGGAAUAUUGGGCAAUGGGCGCAAGCCUGACCCAGCAACGCCGCGUGAAGGAAGAAGGCUUUCGGGUUGUAAACUUCUUUUAUCAGGGACGAAACAAAUGACGGUACCUGAUGAAUAAGCCACGGCUAACUACGUGCCAGCAGCCGCGGUAAUACGUAGGUGGCAAGCGUUAUCCGGAUUUACUGGGUGUAAAGGGCGUGUAGGCGGGAAAGCAAGUCAGGCGUGAAAACUAUGGGCUCAACCCAUAGCCUGCGUUUGAAACUGUUUUUCUUGAGUACUGGAGAGGCAGGCGGAAUUCCGUGUGUAGCGGUGAAAUGCGUAGAUAUACGGAGGAACACCAGUGGCGAAGGCGGCCUGCUGGACAGCAACUGACGCUGAGGCGCGAAAGCGUGGGGAGCAAAC